CGAAAUCGUAUUUCACCUGAUUUUGUUUUUUUUUUGUUUUUUUAGCAAAGAUUUUAUUUUAUUUGUUAUAUUACAGAUAAUCAUGAUUCUUAAAAAGUUUUAGUUUUUUUUUAAUUAUUAAUUAAGAUAAAAUCAACUGGGCCGGUCCGUUGUGGUCCAUUAAUAAGUUGACAAAAACAUUAAGAUAAGAUUUUUCUCCUUUUUCCCAGUGAAAUCGUAUUUUAC
RNAcentral lists this long non-coding RNA (225 nucleotides) under Brassica napus (rape). Its description in RNAcentral is "long non-coding RNA (BNAP_LNC023794)". The record is from RNAcentral. Lineage: Eukaryota; Viridiplantae; Streptophyta; Magnoliopsida; Brassicales; Brassicaceae.